UCAUAAAUCAGCAGUAGUUUGGCAUUCCAUUGCUAAUCAGUCACAAAACAGCAGUUGCUAGUGCAAAUCUGCACGUAUUCAACUGCACUAUGCAAUGCUGACUAAUUGCUGGUUUAGUGCCACCACUAGCAACACUGCCAAGCUGUAUUUCACCAAACUGGCAACUCUUUUAUCAUUAUGAGAGAAGAGUGAAAGAGAGAGUGUGAGAAUAUAAAAAACAAGAUGUUUGUGUCUCGCUUCCUCAUGGCAUAAAAAAUAAACAGAGCGAAAAGUGCAAGCGGACUUGCUUCAUUCUCGAAAUGGGUGCUAAAAGAUGUUCCAGCUCUUACUGCGGCCAUUCCGUAGUUCACGAAUUUAUAGGCCAAACAGGAAUGGUGCGAUUUCAAGGCUGGAGAUUCUGGAUUUGCGAAGCCGAUUUCAGGUGUGUAACGUUCGUGGAGUUCCUGGGACCCAGCACAGGAUUGGGAUGUAGUGACCACGGUAGUGACGAUCGAAUCGUAUCUAUUGUAGUGUAAUAAAUGAUAGUAAAAUUUA
This is a long non-coding RNA of Culex quinquefasciatus (southern house mosquito), 534 nucleotides long. RefSeq lists it as uncharacterized. The record is from RefSeq and is a predicted model, not a curated record. The transcript is spliced from 2 exons. NCBI's taxonomy places the organism in Eukaryota, Metazoa, Arthropoda, Insecta, Diptera, Culicidae.